GGCUGUGGUCUGGAGCCACUUCGUGGCGAAGCCUGUGUGGGCCGUGCCCCGUGACGAGCGGAUGUCCGGCCGGCGCACGGCGUCCUACUGAGACAGAAGAUGGCCAAGAAGGCAGAGAAGGCCAAGAAGGCGAAGGAGA
RNAcentral lists this non-coding RNA (139 nucleotides) under Polarella glacialis. Lineage: Eukaryota; Dinophyceae; Suessiales; Suessiaceae. The record is from RNAcentral.